This 1261-nucleotide long non-coding RNA is filed under the name Homo sapiens (human). RNAcentral describes it as "HSALNT0051079". The record is from RNAcentral. Lineage: Eukaryota; Metazoa; Chordata; Mammalia; Primates; Hominidae.
CUUUAUUUCGUUGGUCACGAUUGCAGCAGGUUCUGCUGCUGACCUUCUAUCAAGAUGGUCCCUGGGUAAUGUGGGGUCCAGCAUCAGCUCUUGAGGAAAGUGGAAAGGCUGCUGAGUGUAUGCGCCACAAGAAGCCCCUCCCUCAGCUCUGUCUCUCAAUCACUAAGAAUGUUGAUUCACUAAAGUCCAAACUUGCGCUGGCGCCAUCUUGGCCUCUCAUGCCCUCCCUGGUCUCUCUCCGUCACCUCCAUAAAAAGCUACAAGUGAGUCAGCUGCAACGGGAAAAAGGAAAGAGGUGUGUUUCUGGCUCCCAUACAUAUGACUCUGAGCAGAGAACAACUGCAAACAAAGCCUUAAACCUGAAACUCUAAAGGGCAGGGUGUGGGAAGGUUUGCGGCCCGGUGCGGGCAAGGUUGAAGUGGCAUGUUCAGCAGGUUGGACAUGUGUACUUUCCUUCCAUUUAAUAAUUAGAAAGGAAUGAACUCUCCCCACUGAACUGCGGCCCAGCUCUGGUGCUCCUCGUGGAAAAUACCACUUAAGACAACACCAAGCUUCAAAGCCCUUGCAUUUCCUGGCCAAGGAUAAAGGGUUCCCUCUUUCCCUGCAGUGAGUCCUACCCCUCUGAACCCAGCGCCAGUUACUCAUGUUCUAGAAUGUUUAUUAAUUAAGUUUGGCUUCUCUGGUUGAUUUUGCAGAAAGAUUUUUUUUUUCACACUUUGAAAUCAAGCAUCUGCACAUGGGUUGGUUGGCAGUCUGUUUGCAGACAAGGAUGCAGAAAGAAAAGUCCUUGGACUCCAUGCCGUGUUGUGUGGCUGCAGAACGCUGCCUCUAGUGCCAUUCCUCAAGGUCUGCAUAACUAGAAGAAGUUAUCUGUGUUGUUAACAGGAGACAAUAUCACCCUGUCGUACCUCUGUGGAAUGUUGCUAGGGGGACUGUGUGCAGCUGAGAUAGACAUGUGUAAUGGCAACUACCAAACCACAUGCAAGGAGGCUCUUCGAUCUGUGUGAAUCAUCUUUCAGCCCUGGUAUGUUCAUCCAUCAAACUCUUAUUUUAUACUAUACUCACAGGCUGGGCCUCUUCUGGGGACUUUAGGAGCACAUUUCUUUAAUUGGUCAAGUCUUUCAUUUUCAAGCUCUAUUGGAUUCUCCCUAGUCCCGGCGUCCUUUUGCUAAAAUCUGUCUUUGAUAGACUUUGAGUAUGUUGCUCAUCAAUCAAUCCUUCAUCUUUCCAGAGUGUCUUGAUUCUUUAAGACUGCUUGCAC